Long non-coding RNA from Hordeum vulgare subsp. vulgare (domesticated barley), 1136 nucleotides. RefSeq lists it as uncharacterized. The transcript has 2 exons. The record is from RefSeq and is a predicted model, not a curated record. NCBI's taxonomy places the organism in Eukaryota, Viridiplantae, Streptophyta, Magnoliopsida, Poales, Poaceae.
UGCCGAGUCCCACCUACCCCGCUCUCCGACACUUAGUUGCUCGAAGGCACACGCCACGACCCCUUUAGCACCGCAGAGACGCUCCAGCCGCUCAAUGGUGCCUCGUAGCACCGCCGUCAGAAUCUCCUUGGCAGUACGCCAGCGGCCGCAGCAAGUCCCUGCCAUGGCAGCACCUCUCAAGCCACAGCCUCACGCCAGCUGCCCACUGGAACAGCUCGAGCUCAUCCACGAGCUCGCCUGCUAGCGCCUGGUCCCCGCCAGCCGACCUCCAUGUCGCCCAUGCAACUGUCAUGAGAGGUAUCCAUUGCUGCCGCGGAACCGACCCCAAUGCGCUAUAAAUAGGGCGCCCUGAGCUCUCAGCCGCAACAUGAGCCCUCCACUGCCCCGCAGUAACCCUCCGUUUGAGCCAAUUGAGACCAAGAGGGUCAUCCUCUUCGUGUCCAGUAGCAAUGGCCGUCUCGGUCGAAUUCGACCUGAACAGACCCUAUCCCCUCCCUCUCUCGCUCCCAAAGCCCCGUGGAGUUCCCUUGAAUCCAUCCCGGGUCCAAAUUCGGCCUCAAGAGCACCAGAGAGAGAUUCCCAAAUUUUGGUCCCGUCGGAGCUUUUCGGGUUAGCACGCCGCCGACGGCUCUGCCCACUAUGGCGGCCUCGCAUCCCCUCCUCAGGACCGUCGUGACCCCCUGAGCUCCCUCGGGUGCUCGCCACCUCGCAUGAAGCCCCCCUUGCUGGUGUUGGUCGCCGAGCUCCGUCCCGGUUCUAUCACAGGAGGAGAAAGGAGGAGACCGGUCAAACCUGACCAAUUGGCUAGGCGGCACACUGUCAGUGACUCGCGAGUCACGCGUGUGCUGGAUAAGUGGCCGCGCAUGCCGUGAAAUUGCAUAUUUGGAAAAGUGCAUCCCGGUGGUAGCCCCGGAACCUAGGCACCGAAGACAGCAACCGCGUGAGAUAGGAAUUAUCCAGGUCAAUUGUUCCUGUUGGGAAUGGAGUCCAAUAGAUGUUGUAGAUCCCUGAACCGCUUCCGCCAUCAACAAGUAGAAAUCAUUUUGAUGUACUCCAUAGACCAUCUUGGUCAUGAACUUCAAAUCUGUAAUUUGAUUGGACGUUUGUAUCAAGGAUUUGUGUACUAGCUAACAAUA